AAUAUUGGGCAAUGGGCGAAAGCCUGACCCAGCAACGCCGCGUGAGGGAAGAAGGUUUUCGGAUUGUAAACCUCUGUCCGAAGGGGCAGCGGGACGGUACCUGAGGAAGAAGCCCCGGCUAACUACGUGCCAGCAGCCGCGGUAAUACGUAGGGGGCAAGCGUUAUCCGGAUUUACUGGGUGUAAAGGGAGCGUAGACGGCAAGGCAAGCCUGGAGUGAAAGGCGGGGGCCCAACCCCCGGACUGCUCUGGGAACCGCCUGGCUGGAGUGCAGGAGGGGUAAGCGGAAUUCCUAGUGUAGCGGUGAAAUGCGUAGAUAUUAGGAGGAACACCGGUGGCGAAGGCGGCUUACUGGACUGUGACUGACGUUGAGGCUCGAAAGCGUGGGGAGCGAA
This 394-nucleotide ribosomal RNA is filed under the name uncultured bacterium. Its description in RNAcentral is "bacterial SSU rRNA". It matches the Rfam family "Bacterial small subunit ribosomal RNA", at positions 360 to 772 of the family's 1533-position model. The record is from RNAcentral.